This 495-nucleotide ribosomal RNA is filed under the name uncultured bacterium. RNAcentral describes it as "partial 16S ribosomal RNA". It matches the Rfam family "Bacterial small subunit ribosomal RNA", at positions 28 to 507 of the family's 1533-position model. The record is from RNAcentral.
GACGAACGCUGGCGGCGUGCCUAAUACAUGCAAGUAGAACGCUGAAGGAGGAGCUUGCUCUUCUGGAUGAGUUGCGAACGGGUGAGUAACGCGUAGGUAACCUGCCUGGUAGCGGGGGAUAACUAUUGGAAACGAUAGCUAAUACCGCAUAAGAGUAGAUGUUGCAUGACAUUUACUUAAAAGGUGCAAUUGCAUCACUACCAGAUGGACCUGCGUUGUAUUAGCUAGUUGGUGGGGUAACGGCUUACCAAGGCGACGAUACAUAGCCGACCUGAGAGGGUGAUCGGCCACACUGGGACUGAGACACGGCCCAGACUCCUACGGGAGGCAGCAGUAGGGAAUCUUCGGCAAUGGACGGAAGUCUGACCGAGCAACGCCGCGUGAGUGAAGAAGGUUUUCGGAUCGGAAAGCUCUGUUGUAAGAGAAGAACGAGUGUGAGAGUGGAAAGUUCACACUGUGACGGUAUCUGACCAGAAAGGGACGGCUAACUACGUG